RNAcentral lists this ribosomal RNA (253 nucleotides) under uncultured bacterium. RNAcentral's name for it is "partial 16S ribosomal RNA". It matches the Rfam family "Bacterial small subunit ribosomal RNA", at positions 524 to 776 of the family's 1533-position model. The record is from RNAcentral.
UACGUAGGGAGCAAGCGUUGUCCGGAAUCAUUGGGCGUAAAGCGCGCGUAGGCGGCCUCAUAAGUCCGUUGUGAAAGUCAAAGGCUCAACCUUUGAAAGCCGAUGGAUACUGUGAGGCUAGAGUCCGGAAGAGGCGAGUGGAAUUCCUGGUGUAGCGGUGGAAUGCGCAGAUAUCAGGAGGAACACCAAUUGCGAAGGCAGCUCGCUGGGACGUUACUGACGCUGAGACGCGAAAGCGUGGGGAGCAAACAGG